GCCUCCGCGUUGGGCUGUGUCCACCGGAAUCUGACUUGUGCUUCCGGGUCAGAGCCAUGGCGGUGGCAAAUUCAAGCCCCGUUAACCCUGUGGUGUUCUUUGAUGUCAGCAUCGGUGGUCAGGAAGUUGGCCGCAUGAAGAUUGAGCUGUUUGCAGAUGUCGUGCCCAAGACAGCCGAGAACUUCAGGCAGUUCUGCACUGGAGAAUUCAGAAAAGAUGGGGUUCCAAUAGGAUAUAAAGGAAGCACCUUCCACAGGGUCAUAAAGGAUUUCAUGAUUCAGGGUGGAGAUUUUGUUAAUGGAGAUGGUACUGGAGUCGCCAGUAUUUACCGGGGCCCAUUUGCAGAUGAAAAUUUUAAACUUAGACACUCAGCUCCAGGCCUACUUUCCAUGGCAAACAGUGGUCCCAGUACAAAUGGCUGUCAGUUCUUUAUCACCUGCUCAAAGUGCGAUUGGCUGGAUGGGAAGCACGUAGUGUUCGGAAAAAUCAUUGAUGGACUUCUGGUAAUGAGAAAGAUUGAGAAUGUUCCCACAGGCCCCAACAAUAAGCCCAAAUUGCCUGUGGUAAUCUCACAGUGUGGGGAGAUGUAAUCCCAACCAAGACUGAAUCAUGAGUCAGGUCCCUCCCUAACUUCCUUGCCAGAUCCAGGCGAGGCCUUCCCUUGCUGUCCUGACUUUGCUGAGUCAGAUAAACUGAAUGGCUCCAGUGUUUGCAUUCCUGCCUGCUUCGGAAAUAUCGCGGACUCCAAACCAAGAGUGUGUGCAUUUAAGUUUUUAAUUGUAAAUAAAGGUUUUUGUAUG
RNA transcript from Fukomys damarensis (Damara mole-rat), 800 nucleotides. It is a transcript of the gene named peptidylprolyl isomerase H, with no coding region annotated. The record is from RefSeq and is a predicted model, not a curated record. Lineage: Eukaryota; Metazoa; Chordata; Mammalia; Rodentia; Bathyergidae. The transcript has 11 exons.